UACGAAGGGGGCUAGCGUUGUUCGGAAUUACUGGGCGUAAAGCGCGCGUAGGCGGUGAUCUUUGUCAGAGGUGAAAGCCCAGAGCUCAACUCUGGAAUUGCCUUUGAGACUGGGUGGCUUGAGUACGAGAGAGGUGAGUGGAAUUCCCAGUGUAGAGGUGAAAUUCGUAGAUAUUGGGAAGAACACCGGUGGCGAAGGCGGCUCACUGGCUCAUUUCUGACGCUCAGGCGCGACAGCGUGGGGAUCAAACAGG
Molecule: ribosomal RNA, 253 nt
Filed under: uncultured bacterium
Lineage: Bacteria
Description: partial 16S ribosomal RNA
Rfam family: Bacterial small subunit ribosomal RNA
Source: RNAcentral